Molecule: long non-coding RNA, 1302 nt
Filed under: Felis catus (domestic cat)
Lineage: Eukaryota; Metazoa; Chordata; Mammalia; Carnivora; Felidae
Description: lncRNA (ENSFCAG00000045663.2)
Source: RNAcentral
GAGCAUGGCAGGGAGGUAGUGACAUCCCUCCCCGCUGCCCCCCUAGAGGCCGGGAGCACCUCCGUUCCCAACUGUGACAGCCAAAAAUGUCCCCAGACGUUGCCCAUGUCCCUGUUUGGGAAACACUGGGGUACAAGCAGGGGACAUCAGAGGUCACAGAGCACGAGGAAGAACACAGUGAUCUCAGACCCCACCAAGAGACCGGAGUCAACUCCGGAACGUUCUGCUGGUUUUGUCUGCCUCUCGCUCCACCUGCUGCGUGAGUUCAGGAAGCCCUCGCCUUGCCGAGUUGAUGCCUUCAAUCGCAGACGACGUCACAGUCAAAAGAACCAAAACUGUGUGUUCAGCAGGCACGAAGAAACCAGUGUGACCACAGCAUACAGGGAGAAGACUAUGGAAACAUGUUGGGAUCAUCUUCUGAAGACCAUUGAGACCAGGCUGAAGAGUAUGUGUUCAAUAAGGACAGCCCUUGGAGUCUUUAUGGCAAUGAAAUGUCUCAAGCCACCAUGUAGGGAGACUGAUCCGGCAGCAAUGAGAAACAUGGGUCAACUAGUUGUUUUGAAGAUGCUACAAGGGACAGCUUAUUUCAUGAUACUGGGAAUCAACAGUGAACGGAAAUACUCAAAGAGGAGGUCCGAGCCGAGCAUAUAACAGAGCACAUCUCGCAGGGAGAAAAUCAAACAGCUAAUGCGAGUAUUUUGUUGUUUGUUGUUUCUGCUUUCUAUCACCACCCGGGAGAAUGAUCUUUUCCAAACAUGUGUCUGAUCUUGCCAUUUCUCACUUAAUACAUUUCAGGAACUCCACACCACCCACGGGAGGGAACUCAGACACCUGGCCCAGGCCAUCAGGGCAUAGGGCCCAGCUCAUAAUUCUGGGAUUCCCUCAUCUACAUACCCACACUAACCACAUUACUCUUAAUUACCAAAGUAUAUCCUAGUGUUUUCGCUUGGAUUCACUCUUACUGUUCUCUCUCCUAGAAAUAUCUCUUCCACUUACCAUCAGAAUUUGUCACUCCCUUUAUUUAUUUUCAUUAUGCACUUUGUUUACAGGUCGGUUAUUACCUCAAAUUGCAAAAGGUUCUUUAUGUAGUAACUAUAUCUACUUUAUUGUGGAGAUUAUGUCUUAUUUAUCUUUAUCUCUGGAUCCUAUCACAGUGUCUAGUUAGCUGAGAGGUGUUCUGGGAAUAUAUACAGGAAGAAAAAAAUGGAUGGGUGAAUGGAUGGAUGGAUGGAAUGAUGGAUGGAUUGAUGGAUGGACGGGUGGAUGAAUAAAUGGAUGGAGGGAUAGAUGAGUUGAAAAUAA